UGGGGAAUAUUGCACAAUGGGCGCAAGCCUGAUGCAGCCAUGCCGCGUGUAUGAAGAAGGCCUUCGGGUUGUAAAGUACUUUCAGCGGGGAGGAAGGGAGUAAAGUUAAUACCUUUGCUCAUUGACGUUACCCGCAGAAGAAGCACCGGCUAACUCCGUGCCAGCAGCCGCGAUAAUACGGAGGGUGCAAGCGUUAAUCGGAAUUACUGGGCGUAAAGCGCACGCAGGCGGUUUGUUAAGUCAGAUGUGAAAUCCCCGGGCUCAACCUGGGAACUGCAUCUGAUACUGGCAAGCUUGAGUCUCGUAGAGGGGGGUAGAAUUCCAGGUGUAGCGGUGAAAUGCGUAGAGAUCUGGAGGAAUACCGGUGGCGAAGGCGGCCCCCUGGACGAAGACUGACGCUCAGGUGCGAAAGCGUGGGGAGCAAACAGG
Molecule: ribosomal RNA, 429 nt
Filed under: Chloroflexota bacterium
Lineage: Bacteria; Bacillati; Chloroflexota
Description: Chloroflexi bacterium partial 16S ribosomal RNA
Rfam family: Bacterial small subunit ribosomal RNA
Source: RNAcentral